UGAUAUGAACUGACCUUAUACAAAGCAUUGCAGAGCAGAAAGGCUGUAGGGUCAGGUGUAUCCUUUCUCAAAGUGGGCGGGUUUAGAGGAUGAGAGUGGAUGGUCUGAUGGCGAUAGAAGAGGAACUGGAGCAGGAGGGGAUCCUGGGUGCUAGAGAAAAAAAAACAGCCUCUGUUAGAUCUUUCCAAACAUUUAACUCUGGAAACGGCUGUGACUCUGUGACCAUCUCUACUUGAUGUGACUUCAUCUCCCGUCUGUCUGUCUGUCAUUAUCACAGUAGGGUUUGUCUGACCUGACUGCAUGACAUCAAAAUGCAUAUUUAUUACAAUUCACAUGAAAGUAUAUUUUUUAGUGCAAAAUUGUAAAGUGACUCAUCACAUGCACCAUAUUCCUGUGUGAUAUACUUUAGUGCUUAUAGAUGGUUUAUACAUUAAAAAAAACAUUAUUAAAUAAACAUAACCAUGCUUUUUAUAUAAAGCCCACCUACAAUUUUUAAUACAUUUUAAUAUUUUUCACAGUAGUCACAGUGAACAUUUCCAGAUAGACUUGCCCACCAUAUAAUUAUUUUGUCUGAUUGUUCACAAAAGUUAACUGUGUGUGUAAUGUGUCAGUAUUUUUUUUUCAUUCCAUGUCCUCCAGAUUUACCUGUAAGAAAAAAAAAAAAAUCAAGACUCAAAAAAACUCAGACAAUGAACUCCGUCCCGCUUUUGUCUCCCCCACACACAGACAGCUUUUUAGAGAAAUCAAAGCUAUUCUUCAAUAACGAAGAGGCAUGAAACAACCCAUCACUUCCUUCUCCACAUCCUCUGCUCUCUAUAUACAGUACAGACAACAGAUACUGACACACACACACACACACAUAGAGUGACUGAAUGGGGCCAAUUAUCCAGCCUGUUCAAAAGGGCAGCAGUGUCCGCUUCAUACAAGUGUUUGUGUCUGUUUAUGUGUUUGUGUGAAAGAGUGUGAAUGGACUGUUUUGUGUUAACAAGUGAGAGAAAACACAAAACCACAGCUGUGCUGCAAAACUACAGACCACAAGAAUGUGACAUCUUCAGCUCCUAACCAACUCACGACAUGUUCGUUAUCUUGUUUACCUCUUAAUUGAUUCAUAGAAAUCCUGAAUUAACUAACAUUUUACCUUUUAAGGAGAGAAACACAGCCCUCAAAAUACACAAAACGUACAUGAUGAAGACCAGAGAGCAUUUUGUAAGUGUACAAUGGGUGACAUCUGUGGAAAAAUAGCUAUUUCGACUCGGCAGGAGUGGAGGGGGUCCUGACAGCAUCGGCAGAGAGAUAGAGAGAUUUGAGACCAGUAUUACAAGUUACUGUGGCUCCCCAGCAGGCAAUCAUUCUGUUUGAAAAAUAAACAAAAUGACUGACAAAACAGGCUAAAUUAAGCGUUUUACACACACAUAUAAACACAAGCUGGGCUCUAAAUUGUGGUUCUGUCAAUAGAGGUUGUUUUGUGUUGCUUGACUAUGGUUUUGAAACAAGUGCAGGACAAGUGUUUCAGAACACCAUAAAAAAGCAAACAUAAGAAAGACACAAACAGCAGCAGAGCAACAGCCCAGCACGGCGUUUCAUGAUUACAAGCUCGUUGAGAUUGACAGAAUGUUUAUAGUACGUCGAUUAAGAGAAACACGCAGACCAGAAGACGAGAGAGAGACUGCAGUUGAGCAAGAUGUUUACUCAUUUACACCUCACAUCUUCAACAAACGCCAAACCAGAAACGUCAACAAAGCAAAAUACACUAUGAGCAGGACAGAAGAGCUUGUAAAAAUGUGAGCCGAUUAUUGAUUGUAUUUUGAGUGCUGUUGGGGAAUGGAGUUGAAACUGAUAGAAAAUCUCACUCUAAAAGGAUGUAGAUGCUUUCUAGAAUGUUUAUCGUCUUGGUUUAUGAUCUCUUCCACAUCUAGUUUUAAGGUCACACAAAAGUCCAAUGAUAAUAACAAUAAUAAUAAUAAUAGUAACAUUUCACACAGUAAGUUCCAAUUAGUUAAUACACUAACAACUAACAUUAAGUAACGAGCAUUUGUUACAGUAUUUAUUAAUCUUUGUUAACAUUAAUUGUUCACUGCUAGUUUGUUUGCUAAAUGUUGAAAUUAACAUUUAACUAACAUUAAUAAAUGCCUUUAAAGUAUUUUUCAUCGUUAGUUAAUGUGGUUGUUAAUGUAGUAAAAUGGAUAGUUCACCCAAAAAUGCAAAUGAUCCCAUGAUUUACCCUCAGUCCAUCCUAGGUGUACAUGACUUUCUUCUUUCAGAUGAAUACAAUCGGAGUUAUAUUAAAAAUAAUAAUGGUUAAUAAAGGCCUUCUAAAACAAAGCGAUCUGUUUGUGUAAGUAUAAUAUCCAUAUUUAAAACGUCAUAAACCAUAAUCUCUAGCUUCUGCUAACUGUCGUACACACAUUCACAAGAGAGUGGCGUCCAGCGGAUGACGUAGGCGUUGCGUUAGA
Cyprinus carpio (common carp) is the source of this 2453-nucleotide long non-coding RNA. RefSeq lists it as uncharacterized. The record is from RefSeq and is a predicted model, not a curated record. The transcript has 3 exons. Lineage: Eukaryota; Metazoa; Chordata; Actinopteri; Cypriniformes; Cyprinidae.